UUUGGCACUGGUACUUUGGAGU
Molecule: microRNA, 22 nt
Filed under: Branchiostoma floridae (Florida lancelet)
Lineage: Eukaryota; Metazoa; Chordata; Leptocardii; Amphioxiformes; Branchiostomatidae
Also listed under: 1 other name
Description: bfl-miR-4871-3p
Source: miRBase by way of RNAcentral